AUGGCUACUAAAAAUGAAAAAUUCCACACGUGGCCUGCAUCAUCUUCCUGGUGGACAGUGCUGCCUGAGAGUUCCCUUUUUGCGCUUCCUAGUGAGCUAGUGAUCGACUUUACACCUAGUCCCCUUGUGAUGGGAAACCCUCUGUUGAAACAGCAGGGUCCUCGCCUCACUGGACCGGGACUCAGACCAGGUGGAAAUGAUGAUUUCAUACUCAUGGCCAAGCUGCCUCUCACCCCAGAUGGAGGAAGUGAAAGUUCCAGCCUUUGCGGUUAUUGUGGAUUAAAAGCAAAAAGAUUUUCGUGGAGGCGCCACCAAAGCCUGAAGUGUACCCGGUGGGCAGGACCCUCCACAGGCACCUCCACGCCCCACUCCUGCCCUGUGCCCGUAAUCCCAGCACUUUGGGAGGCUGAGGCGGGCAGAUCACUUGAGGUCAGGAGUUCGAGACCAGCCUCGCCAACAUGGCGAAACCCCAUGUCUACUAAAAAAAUACAAAAAUUAGCUGGGCGUGGUGGUGCACACCUGUAA
This 525-nucleotide long non-coding RNA is filed under the name Homo sapiens (human). Its description in RNAcentral is "non-protein coding lnc-PEX11G-1:1". Lineage: Eukaryota; Metazoa; Chordata; Mammalia; Primates; Hominidae. The record is from RNAcentral.